UGGACAUGUGCCUUAGUGGACA
Molecule: non-coding RNA, 22 nt
Filed under: Arabidopsis thaliana (thale cress)
Lineage: Eukaryota; Viridiplantae; Streptophyta; Magnoliopsida; Brassicales; Brassicaceae
Source: RNAcentral